This 253-nucleotide ribosomal RNA is filed under the name uncultured bacterium. Its description in RNAcentral is "partial 16S ribosomal RNA". It matches the Rfam family "Bacterial small subunit ribosomal RNA", at positions 524 to 776 of the family's 1533-position model. The record is from RNAcentral.
UACGUAGGGGGCUAGCGUUGUCCGGAUUUAUUGGGCGUAAAGAGCGUGUAGGCGGCCAGGUAGGUCUGGUGUGAAAACUCGAGGCUUAACCUCGAGAUGUCAUCGGAAACCAUCUGGCUAGAGUCCGGAAGAGGAGAGUGGAAUUCCUGGUGUAGCGGUGAAAUGCGCAGAUAUCAGGAAGAACACCAAUGGCGAAAGCAGCUCUCUGGGACGGUACUGACGCUGAUGCGCGAAAGCGUGGGGAGCAAACAGG